ACUACAUGAAGCUGGAAUCGCUAGUAAUCGCGGAUCAGAAUGCCGCGGUGAAUACGUUCCCGGGUCUUGUACGCACCGCCCGUCACACCAUGGGAGUCGGAAAUGCCCGAAGUCUGUGACCCAACCAUUAAGGAGGGAGCAGCCGAAGGCAGGUCGGAUGACUGGGGUGAAGUCGUAACAAGGUACC
This 187-nucleotide ribosomal RNA is filed under the name uncultured bacterium. RNAcentral's name for it is "partial 16S ribosomal RNA". It matches the Rfam family "Bacterial small subunit ribosomal RNA", at positions 1315 to 1500 of the family's 1533-position model. The record is from RNAcentral.